This is a long non-coding RNA of Glycine soja, 504 nucleotides long. RefSeq lists it as uncharacterized. The transcript is spliced from 2 exons. The record is from RefSeq and is a predicted model, not a curated record. NCBI's taxonomy places the organism in Eukaryota, Viridiplantae, Streptophyta, Magnoliopsida, Fabales, Fabaceae.
UGGCAUAUGUUUUUGCAGCUGUCAUAUACCCUUCAUUAAGGUUACUUCAAGGCGAGUUUAAUAAUGAUAAAAGAAACAGUUGUGCAGAACUGAGCAGAAAGAGGCUUGAAAAGGUUCUCAGUAAAGAUCUAGAGGGAGAUGAGGAAUGUGGCAUAUGCAUGGAAAACGGCAUGAAGAUGGUUCUGCCUAAUUGUGGACAUUCUUUGUGCAUUAGCUGCUUCCAUGAUUGGUAUAUGAGAUCAGAAUCAUGCCCAUUUUGCCGUGGAAACCUGAGGAGGAUCAAUCCUAGAGAUUUAUGGGUGGUUAUUGGCAGCAGUGAUGUGGUUGACAGGAUUACCAUUGCAAAGGAGAAUUUAAGAUGUCUCUACCUUUACAUUGAAACUCUGCCUCCAAUCAUAUCGGAUGCACAUGUACAUACAUUCAAUUACAUGCAAUAACUUGAAGAAAAACGGUGCUAAAUGUUAAUUAUAAUUAUUAUUAUGCAAUUGAAAGAAUACAAUUAUA